Molecule: non-coding RNA, 107 nt
Organism: Acanthosepion pharaonis
Lineage: Eukaryota; Metazoa; Mollusca; Cephalopoda; Sepiida; Sepiidae
Source: the annotation of a GenBank genome assembly
CCACAUCAUGUUGAAACACCGAUUUCUGUAUGAUCACCAAAGUUAAGCAACAUCAAGCCUAGUCAGUACCUAGAUGGGUGACCACUUGGGAAUAUCAAGUGCUGUAA